CGCGAAAGGCUUUGCUAUACUAUUUUACCAUAUAUACCACCAUCCAAAGUGGAGAGCUCCAUGAUUGAAGCUCUGUAGGUUACAGUGGAGUAGACCCUAGUGGGAGGGGGAAUAGGUUAUAGUGGAGUAGACCCUAGUGGAAGGGGGAAUAGGUUAUAGUGGAGUAGACCCUAGUGGGAGGGGGAAUAGGUUAUAGUGGAGUAGACCCUAGUGGAAGGGGGAAUAGGUUACAGUGGAGUAGACCCUAGUGGGAGGGGGAAUAGGUUAUAGUGGAGUAGACCCUAGUGGGAGGGGGAAUAGGUUAUAGUGGAGUAGACCCUAGUGGGAGGGGAAUAGGUUAUAGUGGAGUAGACCCUAGUGGGAGGGGGAAUAGGUUAUAGUGGAGUAGACCCUAGUGGGAGGGGGAAUAGGUUAUAGUGGAGUAGACCCUAGUGGAAGGGGGAAUAGGUUAUAGUGGAGUAGACCCU
Molecule: long non-coding RNA, 467 nt
Organism: Oncorhynchus tshawytscha (Chinook salmon)
Lineage: Eukaryota; Metazoa; Chordata; Actinopteri; Salmoniformes; Salmonidae
Source: Ensembl